AAUUGAUAAAGGCAAACCUGUUGAAAAGCAGGGACGCAAAAUCAAGGGUCUAAAGCCGCAAGGCUAUGACAGCCGGUUGCCAAA
RNAcentral lists this non-coding RNA (84 nucleotides) under Papillibacter cinnamivorans. RNAcentral describes it as "c-di-GMP sequence". It matches the Rfam family "c-di-GMP-I riboswitch aptamer". From Rfam's summary of the family: GEMM was predicted in a large-scale screen for bacterial structured RNA regulatory elements. Genes associated with GEMM are involved in a diverse array of functions, including chemotaxis regulation, signal transduction, secretion and chitin. The record is from RNAcentral. RNAcentral also lists the same sequence under 1 other name. Lineage: Bacteria; Bacillati; Bacillota; Clostridia; Eubacteriales; Oscillospiraceae.